GAAAAAACAAAACAAAACGUGGGUUCUGUUGCGGCUGUUGCGGUUCGCGCAAGUUUCGGAAGUGUCUCGUUCCUGCGUACUUUCUCGCUUCUCGCGAUAGUUAGGGAUUGAUUGCGCGUAGUAACGCAGAAGUGUGAGAGAGCAUUUGUUCUAGCUAAUAACCAAGGGCGUUCUGUUGAGUAGCUGCGAAUUUUCGAACCACACAAAAAGGAUCAACCGUGACGUUGUUGAUAUUGGCGAUCACCUUUCGAACUGAGUCGUCGCUUCCGUUACCGCGACAAUGCAGUCGAUCGUCCUACUUCGCCGGUGCCGGCACCUGAUGUCGCCGACUGCUCGGCGCCUGCUCAGGACGUCGCCGGCCUGCCUGGACGCCGACGAGGACGACGUUUCGGAGCUCACGAAACAGCGUUGGGAUGUGGUCAUCUCGGGAGCGGGACUCGCUGGAGCUGCUCUGGCUUGCGCUUUGGGAACGUCGGAGGCGUUUGCGAACAAGCGAGUGCUGCUCGUAGACAGACGUCAACUCCGCUCGGAUCACGAUGAGGAGAAUUGGAGCAACCGCGUCUAUGCAUUGACUCCGGGAAGCAGGAGCUUUUUGCAAGCCCUCGGUGUAUGGGACAUGCUGCCAAAGUCCAAAGUCCAGACAAUCAAGCGAAUGCGAGUUUGGGAAUCGCACUCCUCUGCCUCCAUUGCCUUCUUUGGGCGCACAGCAGCCAACGAAGUGGCAUUCGAUGUCGACAUGGGCAACCUAGCGGAUGCGCUUUAUCGUCGACUGGCACAACUACCAUCGGAAGUGGUGCGCGUUGUCUCUAAAGUCAAGGUGAUGAACUACGAACUGCCAACAUUGGAGAGGUUUGACCCGAUGGGCCCUUGUCCACCAGUAAGAAUCCAUGUGCUUGGAGAAGACAAGCCACUGGAAACCUCCCUGCUAGUGGGAGCAGAUGGUUUCAACUCGCAAGUUCGCAAAAGCAUGGCUGUCCGGUGCCUCCAAUGGAACUACAACCAAAAGUCCAUCAUCGCCACCGUGAAGCUGUGUGAGCCGGUGGACAACACAGUGGCGUGGCAACGAUUCCUGCCGAACGGCGUGGUGGCCUUGCUGCCGCUGGACUCGGAACAUUCCUCAUUGGUGUGGACAGUGCGGUCAGACUUGGCAGACAAGCUGAUGCAGCUGCCAGAGGACAGUUUUGUGGAUGCCCUCAACAAGAGCCUUUGGGGUGAAGGCAGGCAAAUGCCCCUGGUCAACACAGCCCUCUCCACGGUUGCAUCGCUACUUGAAAGGUUCGGUGCCGCACCCCCUGCCUGCAGUGAUGCGCCAAUGCGCAUCCUCUCGCUAGUGCCAGCGAGCCGUGCCACCUUCCCUUUGGGCCUGAGUUAUGCUGCCCAUUAUGUGUUACCCCGAGUAGCCCUCAUCGGUGAUGCUGCCCACCGAGUGCACCCAAUGGCAGGUCAGGGUGCGAACCUUGGCUUUGGUGAUGCCCAGGAACUGGCCCAGCUCUUGGUUGAGUCUGUGUGGAAUGGAAUGCCAAUAGUGAGCUUCGACACGCUUUUGCGCUACGAGACGCUACGUCAGCGGCACACUGUGCCCUUCCUGCUGGCCAUCGAGGCUCUGGUCGGGCUCUAUCGUUUCAACUUGCUGCCUGUGGUGGCAGCCCGCAGUGUGGGGCUGCAGCUCAUCGACGCCUGGGUUGGUCUCAAGGAAAGGAUAGUUGACCGUGCGUCAUAUUAAGCAAGAUUGCGAGCAUUUUUCUUGCACGAGCAUAUUGUACAGAGGACCAGGCCCACUGGAUUGACAAUGCCUACUUACAUGGUUGGAGGAGCUCUGCUACCUGGUGCAGGAGCCCAGCGGCUAUGACAUUGCACUGCUGAUCACGAGUUCUGAUGGGGCUGGAAUGGAACAACGCCCGUCUGCCGUGCAUUUGGCUCAUGUAAAACAACCCCAGGUGGUCAAAAUAUGGAGUACCUCGUAAAUCAGAUCGUGCUUUUGGUUCAUAGAAUGCCAGAAUUUGAUUUAGUAAUUAGGAGCUCUGCUGUCGAGACACCUGAGCUUCCUCAUUGAAGGGCGUAAAAAAAAAGAAGAAAAGUUGGCCAGCAGCAGGCAUUGGGGCUGUGUGACAGCACAUGGCGUCGCUGCAGCUUUUUGACGAAGUGAAGCACAGCUGAGGUGGGAGAGUACUGGGUUGAUAACUGAAUGCACCUUUUGUUAUUAUACGCAUGCUUUGGGAACCCUGACAGGAUUUUACCUGACCUCUUCAAAGCGUAUAUACGUAUAUCAUGUUUCGCUAAAACACCGAAAUAUUUGUCUCGCAGCAUAUAGUGGUCAUUUGCAAAUAAUUGCUUCUAGCUGCUGUGCUGUUGAGUAGCAGUAAAAGCAACUUAUGCGAAUAAUGUAGAAUAAUACAGUAGAACCUCGUUCAUACGUUUUGGAAAGAACCGCGAGAAGAACGUACUAUCAGGGAAAACGCACAAUCCGAAGUAACUAAAAUAAAUUUGACAGCCUCAACUAUGGUUGACAUCUACGCAAUGCGAAGCGUCGCGCGGAUCGUUGCGGCACGCGGCGCCGGCGCGUGUGGAAUUGGUGGUGCUCCGGCGGCCCGACACGCCUUUCGUUGUUUUCAUAGUAAGAGGGCAGCGGGAAACCGAAACGAAAUCGAGCUUGUGGGCGACGCCGGAAUGCCGCCGAAGCGAAAUGUGCUGCCCACAUCGCGCCCGCCUGCAGCAGGGAACGGCGGCGCGUUUCGGUCAUCGCCUACUAAAAGCAUGCAGUACGCUUCCAAUGGCACUACGCACCACGCGCUGUGAAACAGAUAGGCGAAGAUGCUUAUCGCAACCGGAUUGGCGGCGAUAGCUGUGAGUGCGGCGUUCGACGACCUGGGCGGAGGUUCGCUGCUACCGGAAUGAAAAGCUGUGCGCGCCGUUGUUUUCACAUGGGACGGGGUGGCGAGUAUUGCGGUUAAGCUGCGGCGGCUGUCGCGCGUGCCUCGCGCAUUUUCUUGUUUACACGGGAUCUAGCGGCCGGAAAACGUAUCACACGAUCACAUUUUAGCGACGCCCUGAACCUUGUUGCCGAAAAAUCGUGUUUUCAGGGAACGUAUGAACCGGUCAAAAAUAACCGUAAUUCUGAUGGGUAAUGUUUUGUGUUUUCGAUUGCGAACGUUGACGCCGGGAGAACAUACGCAACGGGAACGCAUCAACGAGGUUCUACUGUAUGUCUAGUUUCAGUUGAUUGAGUAUGUUUGCAAUUCACAGUUUGUCUUUCUGUCACGCCUUCUUCAAGUUACAUACGAGUGUGACCGAAGGUGACUUUCCAACUGCGCACCAUUUCCUUUUAUGUGUCCCACCACUACUGAGUCAUUUGGCAUCGUAGGCACUUCUGGGUUUAUUGCUAAAACGCCGGCCCCUACCUCCAAAUACAAAUGUAGAAAAGCGCAGCAGCAGUGUUGUCAUUUUUAAUGGGCACUAAAGUCAUAUUCAUUUGCAAAUGCGAAGAAAAUUUGUGCCAAGAUGCAUGGGGUAAAAGCUUUGUAUGAAGUACCUAGUCAACCUUAACUGAAAACCAUAAAAUCUUUCUUUUCAACGUCAUUCUGGAUUAACAAAAUUAAAAUGUUCUGAAACUAAAAUAUGAAAAGAAUUGUUUUUCCUUUCUUUUCAAUUCCUGAUUUUUUUGUGUGUGGCUUAGUUCCAGUUCAGAACUCUUCUUGUUUAGAAACCUGUGAACUAUAUUUUGCCACUGGAAUAUAGAAACCUCAUCAUAAUGAGAGUUAUGAUGUUUCAAAGAUUUUUUUGCCAGUAUGAAUUUGCAUAGCUAAAUUCAGUUGUAAAAAGCCAUACAUUUAGCAAAAGAAGUUUCUUGCACUGUGGCACCUUAUGUGCAUCUGCCAUUUUAUGUUCCAUAAUAAAUUUGCAUGCUUGUAAAUGGUGCUGAAGCACUCGGGUAAGAGCUCAUAUUUCUUGCAAUUAGAGAAUAUAAAAAAUUUGGCAAAAUGGAUUAACAUUGUACUUUUACACUGCUUUGCAGAAAAAUUAUCACAUUAUGUGUUGACAUGUUGAUUCGCUUUUCUAUUUUUUUGUUGUUUU
RNA transcript from Dermacentor andersoni, 4071 nucleotides. It is a transcript of the gene named ubiquinone biosynthesis protein COQ6, mitochondrial, with no coding region annotated. The record is from RefSeq and is a predicted model, not a curated record. NCBI's taxonomy places the organism in Eukaryota, Metazoa, Arthropoda, Arachnida, Ixodida, Ixodidae.